CAAUAGCGUAUAUUAAAGUUGUUGCAGUUAAAAAGCUCGUAGUUGAAUUUCGGGUCCCCGCGCUCGGCGCUUCAUUGUGCCGUCGUGGUGUCCCUCCUCGCCGUAAGGCGUCCUUUACUGUGAAAAAAUUAGAGUGUUCAAAGCAGGCAAUCGCUUGAAUACAUUAGCAUGGAAUAAUAAGAUAGGAUCUUGUCUAUUUUGUUGGUUGCGGACAACGAUAAUGAUUAAUAGGGAUAGUUGGGGGUGUCCGUAUUGAGCUGUCAGAGGUGAAAUUCUUGGAUUUGCUCAAGACGAACUACUGCGAAAGCAUUUGCCAAGGAUGUUUUCAUUGA
This 332-nucleotide ribosomal RNA is filed under the name uncultured eukaryote. RNAcentral describes it as "partial 18S ribosomal RNA". It matches the Rfam family "Eukaryotic small subunit ribosomal RNA", at positions 592 to 976 of the family's 1831-position model. The record is from RNAcentral.